RNAcentral lists this ribosomal RNA (466 nucleotides) under uncultured bacterium. Its description in RNAcentral is "partial 16S ribosomal RNA". It matches the Rfam family "Bacterial small subunit ribosomal RNA", at positions 28 to 507 of the family's 1533-position model. The record is from RNAcentral.
GACGAACGCUGGCGGCGUGCUUAACACAUGCAAGUCGUGCGGUAAGGCCCUUUCGGGGGUACACGAGCGGCGAACGGGUGCGUAACACGUGAGCAACCUGCCCUUCACUUUGGGAUAACUGCCGGAAACGGUGGCUAAUACCGGAUAUGACUUCCUCACGCAUGUGGGGUGGUGGAAAGCCUUCGGGUGGUGGGGGAUGGGCUCGCGGUCUAUCAGCUUGUUGGUGGGGUGAUGGCCUACCAAGGCUUCGACGGGUAGCCGGCCUGAGAGGGUGACCGGCCACACUGGGACUGAGACACGGCGCAGACUCCUACGGGAGGCAGCAGUGGGGAAUAUUGGACAAUGGGCGAGAGCCUGAGCCAGCAACGCCGCGUGAGGGAUGACGGCCUUCGGGUUGUAAACCUCUUUCGCCUGCGACGAAGCGAGAGUGACGGUAGCAGGUAAAGAAGCACCGGCCAACUACGUG